CCUACGGGUGGCAGCAGUGAGGAAUAUUGGUCAAUGGCCGUAAGGCUGAACCAGCCAAGUCGCGUGAGGGAAGACUGUCCUAUGGGUUGUAAACCUCUUUUAUCGGGGGACAAAGGUCUCCACGCGUGGCUGUUCGCAGGUACCCUAUGAAUAAGCAUCGGCUAACUCCGUGCCAGCAGCCGCGGUAAUACGGAGGAUGCGAGCGUUAUCCGGAUUUAUUGGGUUUAAAGGGUGCGUAGGCAGGAGUUUAAGUCAGCCGUGAAAUUUUGUGGCUCAACCAUUAGGGUGCGGUGGAAACUGGAGGCCUUGAGUGCGCGAGAGGUAUGCGGAAUGCGUGGUGUAGCGGUGAAAUGCAUAGAUAUCACGCAGAACCCCGAUUGCGAAGGCAGCAUACCGGGGCGUAACUGACGCUGAAGCACGAAAGCGUGGGGAUCAAACAGGAUUAGAUACCCGGGUAGUC
Molecule: ribosomal RNA, 460 nt
Filed under: uncultured bacterium
Lineage: Bacteria
Description: partial 16S ribosomal RNA
Rfam family: Bacterial small subunit ribosomal RNA
Source: RNAcentral